UACGUAGGUGGCAAGCGUUGUCCGGAAUUAUUGGGCGUAAAGCGCGCGCAGGCGGUCUUUUAAGUCUGAUGUGAAAGCCCACGGCUCAACCGUGGAGGGUCAUUGGAAACUGGGGGACUUGAGUGCAGGAGAGAAGAGUGGAAUUCCACGUGUAGCGGUGAAAUGCGUAGAGGUGUGGAGGAACACCAGUGGCGAAGGCGACUCUUUGGCCUGUAACUGACGCUGAGGCGCGAAAGCGUGGGGAGCAAACAGG
This 253-nucleotide ribosomal RNA is filed under the name uncultured bacterium. RNAcentral describes it as "partial 16S ribosomal RNA". It matches the Rfam family "Bacterial small subunit ribosomal RNA", at positions 524 to 776 of the family's 1533-position model. The record is from RNAcentral.